Molecule: ribosomal RNA, 397 nt
Filed under: uncultured bacterium
Lineage: Bacteria
Description: bacterial SSU rRNA
Rfam family: Bacterial small subunit ribosomal RNA
Source: RNAcentral
AACGAACGCUGGCGGCAGGCCUAACACAUGCAAGUCGAGCGAGAAGACGUAGCAAUACGUUUGUAAAGCGGCGAACGGGUGAGGAAUACAUGGGUAACCUACCCUCGAGUGGGGAAUAACUAGCCGAAAGGUUAGCUAAUACCGCGUACGCUUCUUGGACUUCGGUUCAGGGAGGAAAGCGAUGCCGAGGGUAUCGCGCUCUUGGAUGGGCUCAUGUCCUAUCAGCUUGUUGGUGAGGUAACGGCUCACCAAGGCUUCGACGGGUAGCUGGUCUGAGAGGACGAUCAGCCACACUGGCACUGCGACACGGGCCAGACUCCUACGGGAGGCAGCAGUAAGGAAUAUUGCGCAAUGGGCGAAAGCCUGACGCAGCGACGCCGCGUGGGGGAUGAAGGUC